RNAcentral lists this long non-coding RNA (555 nucleotides) under Rattus norvegicus (Norway rat). RNAcentral's name for it is "long non-coding RNA NONRATT012595". Lineage: Eukaryota; Metazoa; Chordata; Mammalia; Rodentia; Muridae. The record is from RNAcentral.
AGACUCCGCACAAAGCACAUUUUCCAAAGCAGCGCAAGGGAGCGCCCAGCCGCGUGCAGGCGGACGCACCCUUCCUGUCCUUUGUUCCGGGGGGGAUCUGCAGCUGCUCUUCUCCCCCAACUCGGAGUCUUCCCUCCAGGGGUGGCAGGUCGCCGAAUACAGCAACGAAGAUGCCUUUGGAACUGACCCAGAGCCGGGUGCAGAAGAUCUGGGUGCCUGUCGAUCACCGACCCUCGUUGCCCAGAUGUGAGUGCAAGUAGCUCCAUGGGGGGCCUGGGUUGUAGACGGCGCCGCGAGCAGAGCCCGGCCAUUGUGUGUGCAGCGGCUUUGUGCCGGUUCCCCUUUGCGGGAAGAGCACUCGUGCGGUUCGGCCGGGCGAGGCGGGGGUGGCGGCGGGCUUGUGUCUCCCAGGCUGGGCUGAAGGGGCGCUGUGGCUCCGGAAACCUCCUGUGUGCCCGGCCGGCCUGAGCUCGCGGGGCCAGCGCCUCCCAGAGGCUGGAGAGACCUGGCUGCUCCGGAGUCACCCCCGGCCGACUGGAGCAGGGGCGCGGCCGC